Oryza barthii is the source of this 204-nucleotide non-coding RNA. NCBI's taxonomy places the organism in Eukaryota, Viridiplantae, Streptophyta, Magnoliopsida, Poales, Poaceae. The record is from Rfam.
AAAAAGACAAACCUGGUUUCCGUGUCUAACGUUUGACCCUCCGUUUUAUUUAAAAAAAUUAUGAAAAAAAUUAAAAAGACGAGUCACGCAUAAAAUAUUAAUCAUGUUUUAUCAUCUAACAACAAUGAAAAUACGAAUUAUAAAAAAAUUUCAUAUAAGAUGGACAGUCAAAGUUGGACACGAAAACCUAGGGUUUGUCUUUUU